CCUACGGGAGGCAGCAGUGGGGAAUCUUGCGCAAUGGGCGAAAGCCUGACGCAGCCAUGCCGCGUGUAUGAUGAAGGUCUUAGGAUUGUAAAAUACUUUCACCGGUGAAGAUAAUGACUGUAGCCGGAGAAGAAGCCCCGGCUAACUUCGUGCCAGCAGCCGCGGUAAUACGAAGGGGGCUAGCGUUGCUCGGAAUUACUGGGCGUAAAGGGAGCGUAGGCGGACAUUUAAGUCAGGGGUGAAAUCCCAGAGCUCAACUCUGGAACUGCCUUUGAUACUGGGUGUCUUGAGUGUGAUAGAGGUAUGUGGAACUCCGAGUGUAGAGGUGAAAUUCGUAGAUAUUCGGAAGAACACCAGUGGCGAAGGCGACAUACUGGAUCAUUACUGACGCUGAGGCUCGAAAGCGUGGGGAGCAAACAGGAUUAGAUACCCUGGUAGUCCACGCCGUAAACGAUGAUUGCUAGUUGUCGGGAUGUUUACAUCUCGGUGACGCAGCUAACGCAUUAAGCAAUCCGCCUGGGGAGUACGGUCGCAAGAUUAAAACUCAAAUGAAUUGACGG
Molecule: ribosomal RNA, 560 nt
Filed under: uncultured bacterium
Lineage: Bacteria
Description: bacterial SSU rRNA
Rfam family: Bacterial small subunit ribosomal RNA
Source: RNAcentral